RNAcentral lists this ribosomal RNA (375 nucleotides) under Microprosthema aff. takedai LMT-2017. RNAcentral's name for it is "partial 16S ribosomal RNA". It matches the Rfam family "Bacterial large subunit ribosomal RNA", at positions 2048 to 2598 of the family's 2925-position model. The record is from RNAcentral. Lineage: Eukaryota; Metazoa; Arthropoda; Malacostraca; Decapoda; Macromaxillocarididae.
CUGUCUUAUAUAUAAGAUUUGAAUUUGACUUUUAAGUGAAAAGGCUUAAAUAUAAUAAAGGGACGAUAAGACCCUAUAAAACUUAAUAUUAAAUAAAUUAUAUUUUAUAAUUAAAGUUUAUUAAGGAAUAAUUUGUUUAUAUUUUACUGGGGCGGUAAGAAUAUAAUUGUUAACUGUUCUUUAUUUAAGUCAAUUAUAAUUGAGUUAUAAUGAUCCUUUGUUUAAGAUUAAGAGAAUAAGUUACUUUAGGGAUAACAGCGUUAUUUUUUUUGAGAGUUCUUAUCGAUAAAAAAGAUUGCGACCUCGAUGUUGAAUUAAAAAUUCCUUGUAAUGUAGUAGUUAGAAAGGAAGGUCUGUUCGACCUUUAAAUUUUUA